Molecule: long non-coding RNA, 1232 nt
Filed under: Populus trichocarpa (black cottonwood)
Lineage: Eukaryota; Viridiplantae; Streptophyta; Magnoliopsida; Malpighiales; Salicaceae
Description: long non-coding RNA (PTRI_LNC000501)
Source: RNAcentral
UGCCGCUCAAAAAGAGAGGAUACUAUCCAUGUGUAAGUUAUUUUUUUAAUAAUAUUUAUAUUUAUUUAAUUGUAUAAUUUUCCCUUAAUCAAAUUAAUUGUAACUCAAAAGGCCAAAAGAAAAACCCUUAGAAACUAGUGGAAGAAAUUAUGCUUUUAAGGAUGUUUUAGUGAUUUUAUUGUGUUAAAAAAAGUAAAAUGCCAAAAAAGCCCAUGAAUGCUAAAUUUAAAAUAUUUAGCUUUUAAGGUUAGUCAAGUCGUUUCAUUAUAUUUUAAAAAUGGUAAAAGAAUGAUAUGCCUCAUAUAAAUCCAAUAAUAACCAUUGGAUAAUGUAAAAAAACCAUAUUACCCCGAACGGCAACAAGACUAUUGAUUUUUUCUUAAGAGUGACAAAAAUAUAAUUAAGACCGAUUGCUUUUAGAUUUUUGUUAACAUGCCAGUAUAUAAAUUUGUUCAAUCAUUAUUACGUAUGCGUACAAAUUUCAUAUAUUACUUUUUCCGAGACUAUGAUGAACAUUUAGGGCUUAUUUGAGUUGGUGUAGUGGUGGCUGUUUAAAGUAUUUUUCGUUUAGAAAUGUAUUAAAAUAAAAUUUUUUUAUUUUUUAAAAAUUAAUUUUGACAUCAGUACAACAAAAUAAUCUGAGAACAUAAAAAAACACUACCACAAUCUUUAUUUUUUUAUUGUAAAAAAACCAUAUUACCCCGAACGGCAACAAGACUAUUGAUUUUUUGUUAAGAGUGACAAAAAUAUAAUUAAGACCGAUUGCUUUUAGAUUUUUGUUAACAUGCCAGUAUAUAAAUUUGUUCAAUCAUUAUUUUUUCCGAGACUAUGAUGAACUUUCGGGGCCUAUUUGAGUUGUCGUAGUGGUGGCUAUUUAAAGUGUUUUUCGUUUAGAAAUGUAUUAAAAUAAAGUUUUUUAUUUUUAAAAAUUAAUUUUGACAUCAACACAUCAAAAUAAUUUAAGAACAUAAAAAAACACUACCACAAUCUUUAUAUUUACCGACAUAAUUUUUCGUCGGUAUUUGUACUAUCAUUCACUUGGUAAUUAAUUUACUAACAAAAUCACUGAUGAAAAUGUUUUGUUGGUGAAUCUUUCAUCGGUAAUAUUUUGUUCCUUCGAUAAAUCUGUUGGUAGUAAAAAAAUAUUAUUACUGAUGGAUUUACUGACGGAAAAGGCAUGCAAAACAAAAUUGCCUACUUUAGUUUGUCAGUAUUUCCCUCGAAAAAAUACC